GCCUGAUGCAGCAACGCCGCGUGCGGGAUGACGGCCUUCGGGUUGUAAACCGCUUUCGCCUGUGACGAAGCGUGAGUGACGGUAAUGGGUAAAGAAGCACCGGCUAACUACGUGCCAGCAGCCGCGGUAAUA
RNAcentral lists this ribosomal RNA (132 nucleotides) under uncultured Propionibacterium sp. RNAcentral's name for it is "partial 16S ribosomal RNA". It matches the Rfam family "Bacterial small subunit ribosomal RNA", at positions 381 to 525 of the family's 1533-position model. Lineage: Bacteria; Bacillati; Actinomycetota; Actinomycetes; Propionibacteriales; Propionibacteriaceae. The record is from RNAcentral.